AUGGUUUUGUUCACAGAUGACACUGGUUACUCCACGUGUUCUACCAUGAUUAGUGUAAUGCUCAUGCAUUGCAGUGAAGCGAAAAAAAAGGAGAAUGUUAGGGCACUUCUCAAUGUUACCAUGCCGGUGUUUGAAGAGAAGUACGUAAGGUCUACCUACUCCAGAAGGACGCAUGUCGAAAGACGGUUUCAAAACCUACAAGCAAGUCGGACCAAAAGGUUGAUUCAGUGGGGUGAUGGGCACCUAGCACAUGACCCUUCCUACAUAUAUCAUGGGUGUAUUCAAACUUCCUUUUUCGGUGUACGAUGA
Molecule: ribosomal RNA, 309 nt
Filed under: Triticum aestivum (bread wheat)
Lineage: Eukaryota; Viridiplantae; Streptophyta; Magnoliopsida; Poales; Poaceae
Description: partial small subunit ribosomal RNA
Source: RNAcentral